Aethalodelphis obliquidens (Pacific white-sided dolphin) is the source of this 3037-nucleotide long non-coding RNA. RefSeq lists it as uncharacterized. The transcript is spliced from 3 exons. NCBI's taxonomy places the organism in Eukaryota, Metazoa, Chordata, Mammalia, Artiodactyla, Delphinidae. The record is from RefSeq and is a predicted model, not a curated record.
AAUAAAAGAUUAAGAUUUUAGCACAAUAAAUAGGAAAAGCAGGAAAGGCUUUAACACUUAGCUGAAUAUUAUUAACAGUUAUUUAUCUUAGCUCUCUUGCUGCUAGUCUGCCCAGGACAACAGGUGAGGUGUGGGGAAAAAAGAUCACAUCUGUUAAUCACAUUGAGAAGGGAGUUUCCCCCUCCAGCUCGGACACAAAGGGCUUCCUUCACCACUUCCUCAGAUGUCAGACUUGGAUCUGGGCAUUUCUGAUAAGAUUUCCAUAAGGAGAGAAUUCUCCAGCUAAAACAAGUUUGAAAAACACUGUUCUAACUUUAUACUGAGAAUUUACAAUAAAAUAAUUCAAAUGAUGCAGUGUGAUUAGCAAUGUGGCACAAUUCAGCAUUAGCUAUUAGAAAUUAUCCUGGGUGGUGUUUCCAGGAAUUAGCUUCCUGCUUAUUGGAUCAUGAAUUUGAAUAACCUUUGAGAAAAAUUUAUGAAUUAUUUAAUAUCUAGCAUGUUGAUUAUUUACAUUUUAAUAAUGGGAAAGUGGUAGCAAACACAUUUCGGUACAUUUCUGAUGUUUCCCAAGAUUUAUAAUUUGUCUUAUAAAGUACUUUAACCUGAGAGGAAAUAAGGAUUCUUAUUCUUUAUCAACAAAAGCUGUUUUGCUUUUACAUUGUUGGCCAAAGUUCAUACGACUUUAUAGACAGGGUUGUAAUGGAGGGCACAACAAAAAAGCCAAAUAAAAAAGCACAAAUUAUACUGUUUAUAUAUAACUCAUCUCAUAUUUUAAGAAAUAACUGCAAUAUUCAUAAUUGUCUUAUUCUUCCACAGUGAAAUUGUGUGGAGCCUUUAAUUUGAAAACAUCACAGACAUUAUGAAAAUUACAUGCCUUUUACAUUCCAAAGUUAAGCACUCAUUUGCAGAGCACUGCCUGGGGUAAGGCUACACUUGGAAAUGAGGUGAAUGUAAUACCAACUUGCUCAUUAACAAAUUCAGCUGAUGACCUGGCAGCAUUCGUGGCACUAAUGCUAUUAUAGAAACCUUACCUCCUAGGACACUCUGGAUGUUACCUGACGACGAACAACUCUGCAUAAGGCUCUUGUCCAGAGGUCAUCACUAGAGGUUCUCCUAGGCAAGCGGAUUCUGUUUCUAUUUCCAUACUGAAGCACUCUUCAGGUUCUGCAUUCUUUCAAGGGUGGUGAACCAUGGAAUCUGCUCUUCGAAUGAAGUGUGGAAGUUAUCCUGCUCAGUAAAAGUAACCUUUUCAAUUUUGUGGAAAUUCUUUAGUUGUCCAUUUUCACUAUGUAAAAUGGAUCACUUUCUGGUUGGAGUUACUAACCACCCAUAAUUUAAACCUUUCUGGGAAGCAUCUCACCACUGCCCUGAAGCUUAUUAUUGUUAGGGAGCUUUUGUUUAGUUGACUAUAAAGUUUAUUUUGGAAGCUCUCACUUCUCUUCAUUAUCAUUUUCUUGAGAAAGUUUGUUCCUUUGUGGCAUUGUUUCACUACCAAAAUUUACAUACUAAUUAUACUAAAAGUUUUCAAGAAAUUGGCUCUGCAGAUGACAGCCUGGGAGGCCAAAAACCAGGAAACAAAUGGCAACAACUGAAAAGGCAAGCAUCUCAAAUCCUUUAAGUGCCCAGAAUCCCGAUGCGACUUCUUUCAGUGAGCCAGAAUUCAUGACUAUUGUGUUCUUGGUCUACAACAACUAAAUACGAAGGGGUUUUAAAAUCUGUGCUUAAUUCUUUUAUAAAUCUGACCUGUUUCAUCAUACAUUUGAAAACUAAGGAUAUGUCAAGUUAGAAUUUACUCAAUGAAACCACAUUUUAAGGGUAGAAAUUAAGACUAAGGGGAAAAAGAGUUAUUCCUUUCUUUUAGUGUGCUGGUUAGACAGCAACAACAGAGUCCAGAGGAGCUUACAAUGAAAAGAGCAUUCCUUUCCCCUUCUCCCACCCGAAACUGCACUCCCCAUACACAGCUACUUUUAAAGUCUGUUCUAAGUUUCUCUGGUGGUUACUGCUACAAGAAUUUAAGUAAAAAUGAUUAAUGUAUAACUAGCAGUAAAAAACAACCAUAGACAUUGCCUAUUAAUCUUCUUACAUGAAAAAUGAAGAUUAAGUUCAUUUAUACUAACCCCAUCUCUCUCCCAUAUUUCUAAUAAUUAUAUUAUUCUAAUACUAUUAUUUGUUUCUUUUGUAAUCUUAAAUACACUUAAACUUCUCACUUUUAUUCCACGUUGCUUCAUUCCCUCAUUUGCAGAUAAGGAUACUGUUGCCCUUUCCACGUUCCCUACCCAACUUCUCCUGUGACAUCAACAAAUUUUAUAACUAUUACACAUUCUGUUGCCUAUGCAUAAUGAAAUCUUCUUGUCUUAUUAAACACUGAUUCUGAACGUUGAAAACCAGCAAACAGCAGCUACCUUCACAUGGCCCCAUGAACACUGCUGACUGCAGAGCAGAUGCUGUGAUAGAAUUUCCUUGUCCAAUGUCACACAACCAAAGGAAAAUAUUUCUAAUUUCAAGAUGAAAUGAACUUUUCUUUGAACUCCAUAAAAUAUUGAAAACCAUUACCUAUGAGGUCUUCUUGGCAAAAAAUGAUUAAACCUGAAUCUAACCAAACUUUCAUAAUUAGCUCCAAAUUACUGGAAAUAUGGUUAAAUGGUAUCUCAAGGAAGCAAACAGUCAAAUCCUGAAUGUGGGAUAUUCUACAGGAAAACUGAUACUAUUUCUUCAGUAUGUCAAAUGGCAUGAGAAAAAAAAGAGGGGGCCAGUCUGGAUUAAAGGAGGACUCAGACGCAGCAACCAGAUAUAACACAAGGACCUUGUCUGGAUCCACUUGAACAAAUUAAUUAUACACACACUUUUGAGAAAUCAGGAGAAAUGUGAUCAUGAACUGAAUUUUAGAUUAAACAAAGAAAUUAUUGUUAAUCUUGUUAGGUGUCAUAAGGCAUUAUGAUUAAAAAGGCAAGUGUCUGUAUUUACUUUAGAGAUUGAUAUUGAAAAAUGCAGGAGUAAAAAUUAUUUACUGUUUCUAACUUGCGCUUUUUUUUUUGUG